AUAAGAGUAGAAGCAUAUUAGGUAAACUUUUUUUGUUCAAGUCCUUCCUCUUUUUGGCACUUUAUAUCACUCUAUACCGAAGAAAUGAAGAAACAUUUGGAAUUAACACUACGUGCAAAAAGAAUUCCCCUAUUUGGAGGCACCACUUUAUAUCUCACUUACAUAGAGGAAUUAAAUCAAAUUCGCUGCUUAUAUGGAGUUAACUAGAAAAUAGGAAGUAAUCUUUAUUGCUUUUAAAUAUAUAUCUGCAUAAUAAUGCUCAGAAAUAAUGACCUUGAUUCUUAGAACAUUAUCAACAUCAGUGUAUCAACAAAUAAUUUGAACUAUCUUUCUUUUUAUUCUUUUGUGAAACAUAGAUCGUAGUUGACUGAGACAAAAAUGGUGGAUUCUUGGAUGCAGGGAUAGGCCAAUAGUUAGUGUAGCAAAACUUAAACAGAUGGAGCAAUUUUCAUGUAUAUUGAAUUGUGUUUUGAUGAUUUACAUUGCUGUGUUUAUAUAGAGGAUUCAAGUCACUAUUUGAAUCCUACCUAAGAUUGAAAAUAGUAUGGACAAAACCAUUUACACCAUGCUGCUGACUCAUGCUCUAGUGAUUGAUAAAGUAAGAAAGCCUAUUAGAACCCAUGCUGCUAAUUAGGCCAUGCUGCUGCAACAGUAACACUUGUUUUAUCAAACACCAUGCUGGUUCAAUAGUAACUUCAUGCUCCACAUGAGCAUGACACCCAACUGCUCACUGCAUAAGACUUGAUGUGCAGUGAUUUAGAUAGAUGCACUAUAACUCAAUACUCCCAAUACCCCCUCUCAAGCUAGAUCAAGGAGAAACCUUGAGCAAAGCUUGCCAUAACGUACGAAACCUUUUUUUUUCUCCAAGUUUUGUUCCUUCUUGUUCUUCACCUCCACAGAACUAAAACUCUAAUAGUCCAACACUGGAGAAAAAAAAAAAAUUUGGACAACGGAUUCUCUUCUUGAAUAGAAUGGAAAAGAUUAGAACGUGAUCAUGGAUCAGAUUUCUCUUCCAUAAUAGAAAGAAGAAAUCAAUGGUCAAGAGAUAAAGAGUCUUAUACAAAAGAACACUGAAUAGAUCUCUCUUCCACAGGAAAGAAGAAAUCAGAAAUCAGAAAUAGAUACCGACAGUCCAACAUCGGCAAAGAUGAGCUCCCAUUAGAACCUCGAACAACAGACCUCUCCACCAAAAUAAGAUGGAAAAGAUCAGAACAUGACCAUGGAUCAGAUUUCUCUUCCAAACCAGAAAGAAGAAAUCAAUGGCCAAGUCCCAAUAGUUAGAGAUAGAGUGAAUAGGGUGGGCUGGAGAGAUUAAGAAAACAUUAAGGUUUUAGAAGGGAGAAAUAGAAUGAGACUGGUUAGGUGAGAGGAAACAAGACCAAGCCUUCAAUCAGAUAAAAUCUUAAUUCAUUCCAAUAUGCGUUUCGGAUUGCGUCGGAUUGCAUGAGCAAGCCAUUUAUAGGUUUCAAAUAUAACCCUUAGUCUCCUAGAAUACCAUAAGACUAAUAUUACUUAUUAAUAAUAAGACUCUUAAAUACUUAAGACUUAAAUAGGUAAAGAUACACUUCGUGCGGCCCUUCGGUUAUUACCCCUUCCCGCUUCGUGUGGCGUCUUGCCUGUUAUUACCCCUUACCGCUUCGUGCGGCGUCCUGUCAGUUAUUACCUAUUUCCGCUUCGUGCGGCGUCCCUUCGGUUAUUACCCCCCGGUCAGUUAUUACCCCUUGCCGCUUCAUGCGGCGUCCCUUCGGUUAUUACCCCAUGUCGCUUCGUGCGGCAUCCCGUCGGUUAUUACCCUUUACCGCUUCGUGCGGCGUCCAUUCGGUAAAUUACCCCAUAUCGCUUCGUGUGGAGUCCCGCCGGUUAUUAUCUCUUCCCGUUUCGUGCGGCGUUCCUUCGGUUGUUACCCGUUCCCGCUUUGUGCGGCCUCCCGUCGGUUAUUACACUUCCCGCUUUGUGCGGCAUAUCAGUUAUUACUCCUAUCAUUUCGUGCGGCGUCCCUUCGGUUAUUACCCAUUUCCGCUUCGUGCGGCGUCCCGUCGGUCAUUAGCUACUCUUACAGUUUCGUGCGGCGUCCCAUCGGUUAUUACCUCUUACCGCUUCAUGCGGCGUAUAGUCGGUUAUUACCCCUACCGCUUCGUGCGGGGUCUUUUCGGUUUUCACCCCUUCCCGUUUCGUGCGGCGUCCUGUCGGUUAUUACCCUUCCUGCUUCGUGCGGUGUCCUGGUUAUUACCCCUACCGCUUUGUGCGGCAUCCAUUCGGCUAUUACCCCCUUCCCCCUUGCCGGUUAUUACGUCUUGCCGCUUCGUGCGGCGUCCCGGUUAUUACCCCUACCGCUUCGUGCGGUGUCCCUUCGGUUAUUACAACUUUCCGCUUCGUGCGGCGUCCCUUCAGUUAUUAUCCCUUGCCGCUUCGUGUGGCGUCCUGUCGGUUAUUACCUUUUGCCGCUUCGUGCGGCGUCCCGUCGGUUAAUACCUCUUAUCAUUUCGUGCGGCGUCCCAUCGGUUAUUAGCUACUCUUACAGUUUCGUGCGGCGUCCCAUCGGUUAUUACCUCUUAUCGCUUUGUGCGGCGUAUAGUCGGUUAUUACCCCUACCGCUUCGUGCGGGUCCUUUCGGUUUUCACCCCUUCCUGUUUCGUGCGGCGUCCUGUCGGUUAUUACCUUUCAUGCUUCGUGCGGUGUCCCGGUUAUUACCCCUACCGCUUCGUGCGGCGUCCAUUCGGCUAUUACCCUCUUCCCCCUGCCGGUUAUUACGUCUUGCCGCUUCGUGCGGCGUGCCGGUUAUUACCCAUACCGCUUUGUGCGGCGUCCAUUUGGUUAUUUACCCUACCAUUUCGUGCGGCGUCCUGUCGGUUAUUACCCCUUUACCGCUUCGUGCGGCAUAUAGUCGGUUAUUACCCCUACCGCUUCGUGCGGCGUCCCUUCGGUUAUUACCCUUCCCGUUUCGUGCGGCAUCUUGUCGGUUAUUACCCCAUGCCGCUUCGUGUGGUGUCUUGCAUGUUAUUACCCCUUACCGCUUCGUGCGGCGUCCUGCCAGUUAUUACCCCUUUCUGCUUCUUGCGGCGUCUCUUAGGUUAUUACCCCCCCGGUUAGUUAUUACCCCUUACCGCUUCGUGCUGCGUUCUCUUCGGUUAUUACCCCAUGUCGCUUCGUGCGGCGUCCCGUCGGUUAUUACCCUUUACCGCUUCGUGCGGCGUCCAUUCAGUAAUUACCCCAUACCGCUUUGUGUGGUGUCCCGUUGGUUAUUACCUCUUCCUGUUUCGUGCGGCGUCCUUUCGGUUAUUACCCCUCCCGCUUUGUGCGGCGUCCUGUCGGUUAUUACACUUCCCGCUUCGUGCGGCGUCUCGGUUAUUAUUCCUACCGUUUCGUGUGGCGCUCUUUCGGUUAUUACCCAUUUCCGCUUCGUGCGGCGUCCUGUAGGUUAUUGCCUACUCUUACAGUUUCGUGCGGCGUCCCAUCGGUUAUUACCUCUUACCGCUUCGUGCGGCGUAUAGUCGGUUAUUACCCCUACCGCUUCGUGCAGCGUCCCUUCGGUUUUCACCUGUUCCCGCUUCGUGCGGCGUUCAGUCGGUUAUUACCCUUCCUGCUACGUGCGGUGUCUCGGUUAUUACCCCUAUCGCUUCGUGCGGCGUCCAUUCGGUUAUUACCCCCUUCCCCUUGCCGGUUAUUACGUCUUGCCGCUUCGUGCGGCGUCCCGUUAUUACUCGUACCGUUUCGUGCGGCGUCCUUUCGGUUAUUACCCCUUUUCGUUUCGUCGCGGCGUCCCGUCGGUUAUUACUCCUUCGUCUCUUCGUGCGGCGUCCCGUCGGUUAUUACCCCUUGCCGCUUCGUGCGGCGUCCCUUCGGUUAUUACCCCUUGCCGCUUCGUGCGGCGUCCUGUCGGUUAUUACCUCUUGCCACUUCGUGCGGCGUCCAGUCGGUUAUUACCCGUUCCCGCUUCGUGCGGCGUCCAGUCGGUUAUUAUCCUUCCUGCUACGUGCGGUGUCCCGGUUAUUACCCCAAUCGUUUCGUGCGGCGUCCAUUCGGUUAUUACCCCCCUUCCCCUUGCCGGUUAUUACGUCUUGCCGCUUCGUGCGGCGUCCUGUUAUUACCCCUACCGCUUCGUGUGGCGUCCUUUCGUUUAUUACCCAUUUUCGCUUCGUGCGGCGUUCCGUUGGUUAUUACCCAUUGCCGCUUCGUGCGGCGUCCUGUCGGUUAUUACCUCUUGCCGCUUCGUGCGGCGUCCCGUCGAUUAUUACCUCUUACCGCUUAGUGUGGCGUCCCGUCGAUUAUUACCUCUCACCGCUUAGUGCGGCGUCCCGUCGGUUAUUACCCCUUGCCGCUUCGUGCGGCGUCCUGUCGGUUAUUACCUCUUGCCGCUUCGUGCGGCGUCCCGUCGAUUAUUACCUCUUACCGCUUAGUGCGGCGUCCCUUCGGUUUUCACCCCUUACCACUUUGUGCGGCGUCCCGUCUGUUAUUACACUUCCCGCUUUGUGCGGCAUCUCGGUUAUUACUCUUACCGUUUCGUCCGGCGUCCCUUCAGUUAUUACCCCUUUUCGCUUUGUGAGGCGUCCCGUCGGUUAUUACCUACUCUUAUAGUUUUGUGCGGCGUCCCAUCGGUUAUUACCUUUUACCGCUUCGUGCGGUGUCCCUUCAGUUUUCACCCCUUCCCGCUUCGUGCGGCGUCCUGUCGGUUAUUACCCUUCCUGCUUCGUGCGGUGUCCCGGUUAUUACCCCUACCGUUUCGUGCGGCGUCCAUUCGGUUAUUACCCCCCUUCCCCCUACCGGUUAUUACGUCUUGCCGCUUCGUGCGGCGUCCCGGUUAUUACCCCUACCGCUUUGUGCUGCGUCCUUUCGGUUAUUACCCCUUUACGCUUCGUGCGGCAUCUAUUCGGUUAUUACCCUUUGUCACUUAGUGCGGCGUCCCGUCGGUUAUUACCCCUAUCUGCUUCGUGCGGCGUCCCUUCGGUUAUUACCCCGUGCUGCUUCGUGCGGCAUCCCGUCGGUUAUUACCCCUUACCGCUUCAUGCGGCGUCCCGUCGGUUAUUACCCCUUACCGCUUCGUGCGGCAUAUAGUCGGUUAUUAUCCCUAUCGUUUCGUACGGCGUCCCUUCGGUUAUUACCAUUCCCGCUUCGUGCGGCAUCUUGUCGGUUAUUACCCCUUGCCGCUUCGUGCGGUGUCUUGCAUGUUAUUACCCCUUACCGCUUCGUGCGGCGUCUUGCCAGUUCUUACCCCUUUCUGCUUCGUGCGGCGUCUCUUAGGUUAUUACCCCCCCGGUUAGUUAUUACCCCUUGCCGCUUCGUGCGGCGUCCCUUUGGUUAUUACCCCAUGCCGCUUCGUGCGGCGUCCCGUCGGUUAUUACCCUUUACCGCUUCGUGCGACGUCCAUUUGGUAAUUACCCUAUACCGCUUCGUGCGGCGUCCCGUCGGUUAUUACACUUCCCGCUUCGUGCGGCUUCUCGGUUGUUACUCCAACCGUUUCGUGCGGCGUCGCUUCGGUUAUUACCCAUUUCCGCUUCGUGCGGCGCCCUAUUGGUUAUUACCUAUUCCUACAGUUUCGUGCGGCGUCCCAUUAAUUAUUACCUCUUACCGUUUCGUGCGGGGUAUAGUCUGUUAGUACCCCUAACGCUUCGUGCGGCGUCCCUUCGGUUUUCACCCGUUCCCGCUUCGUGCGGCGUCGAGUCGGUUAUAUCCCUUCCUGUUUCGUGCGGUGUCUCGGUUAUUACCCCCACCGCUUCGUGCGGCGUCUAUUCGGUUAUUACUCCCCUUCCCCAUGCCGGUUAUUACAUCUUGUCGCUUCGUGCGGCGUCCCGGUUAUUACCCCUACCGCUUCGUGCGGCGUCCUUUCGGUUAUUACCCCUUUCCGAUUCGUGCGGCGUCUAUUCUGUAAUUACUCCUUGCCUCUUCGUGCGGCGUCCCGUCGGUUAUUACCCCUAUCUGCUUCGUGCGGUGUCCCUUCGGUUAUUACCCCUUACCGCUUCGUGCGGCGUCCUGUCGGUUAUUACCUCUUGCCGCUUCGUGCGGCGUCCCGUCGGUUAUAACCUCUUACCGCUUAGUGCGGCGUCCCUUCGGUUUUCACCCCUUACCGUUUUGUGCGGCGUCCUGUCGGUUAUUACACUUCCCGUUUUGUGCGGCAUCUCGGUUAUUACUCAUACCGUUUCGUGCGGCGUCCCUUCGGUUAUUACCCUUUCCGCUUCGUGCGGCGUCCCGUCGGUUAUUGCCUACUCUUACAGUUUCGUGCGGCGUCCCAUCGGUUAUUACCUCUUACCGCUUCGUGCGGUGUAUAGUCGGUUAUUACCCCUACCGCUUCAUGCGGCGUCCCUUCGGUUUUCACCCGUUCUCGCUUCGUGCUGCGUCUUGUCGGUUUUUACCCUUCCUGCUUCGUGCGGUGUCCUGGUUAUUACCCCUACCGCUUUGUGCGGCGUCCAUUUGGUUAUUAUCCCCUUCCUCCCUGCCGGUUAUUACGUCUUGCCGCUUCGUGCGGCCUCCCGGUUAUUACCCUUACCGCUUCGUGCUGCGUCUUUUUGGUUAUUACCCAUUUCCGCUACGUGCGGCAUCUAUUCGGUUAUUACCGCUUCUCUCUUCGUGCGGCGUCCCGUCGGUUAUUAGCCCUAUCUGCUUCAUGCGGCGUCCCGUCGGUUAUUACCCCUAUCUGCUUCGUGCUGCGUCCCUUCGGUUAUUACCCUUUGCCGCUUCGUGCGGUGUCCUGUCGGGUAUUACCUCUUGUCACUUCGUGCGGCGUCUUGUCAGUUAUUACCUCUUAUCGCUUCGUGCGGCAUCCCAUCGGUUUUCAUCCCUUACCGCUUCGUGCGGCGUCCUGUCGGUUAUUACCCUUCAUGCUUAAUGCGGUGUCCUGCCAGUUAUUACCCAUUUGUGAUUCAUGCGGUGUCUCUUAGGUUAUUACCCCCCCGGUUUGUUAUUACCCCUUGCCGCUUCGUGCGGCGUUUCUUCGGUUAUUACCCCAUGCUGCUUCGUGCAGCGUCCCGUCGGUUAUUACCUUUUACCGCUUCGUGCGGCGUCCAUUCGGUAAUUACCUCAUGCCGCUUCGUGCGGCGUCCCAUCGGUUAUUUCCUCUUCCUGUUUCGUGCGGUGUCCCUUCGGUUAUAACCCAUUCCCGCUUUGUGCGGCGUCCUGUCGGUUAUUACACUUCUCGCUUCGUGCGGCGUCUCGGUUGUUACUCCUACCGUUUCGUGCGGCGUCCCUUCGGUUAUUACCCUUUCCGCUUCGUGCGGCGUCCUUGUUGGUUAUUACCUUCUCUUACAGUUUUGUGCGGCGUUCCAUCGGUUAUUACCUCUUACCGCUUCGUGCGUCGUAUAGACGGUUAUUACCCCUACCGCAUCGUGCGGCGUCCCUUCGGUUUUCACCCGUUCCCGCUUCGUGCGGUGUCUUGUCGGUUAUUACCCUUCUUGCUUCGUGCGGUGUCCCGGUUAUUACCCCUACCGUUUCGUACGGCGUCCAUUCGGUUAUUACCCCCUUUCCCCCCCGUCGGUUAUUACGUCUUGCCGCUUCGUGCGGCGUCUCGGUUAUUACUCCUACCGCUUCGUGCGGCGUCCAUUCGGUUAUUACCCCUUGCCUCUUCGUGCUAUGUCCCGUCGGUUAUUACCCAUAUCCGCUUCGUGCGGCGUCCCUUCGAUUAUUACUCCUUGCCGCUUCGUGCGGCGUCCUAUCGGUUAUUACAUCUUGCCGCUUCGUGCGGCCUCCCGUCGCUUAUUGCCUCUUACCACUUUGUGCGGCGUAUAGUCGGUUAUUACCCCUACCGCUUCGUGCAGGGUCCCUUCGGUUUUUACCCUUUCCCGCUUCGUGCGGCGUCCAGUCGGUAAUUACCCUAUACCGCUUCGUGCGGCGUCCCGUCGGUUAUUACCUCUGCCCGUUUCGUGCGGCGUCCCGUCGGUUAUUACACUUCCCGCUUCGUGCGGCAUCUCGGGAUUUACUCCUACCGUUUCGUGCGGCGUCCCUUCGGUUAUACCCCUUUCCGUUUCGUGCAGCGUCCUAUUGGUUAUUACAUAUUUUUAAAGUUUCUUGCGGCGUCCCAUCGGUUAUUACCUCUUAUCGGUUCGUGCGGCGUAUAGUUGGUUAGUACCCCUAAUGCUUCGUGCGACGUCCCUUCGGUUUUCACCCGUUCCCGCUUCGUGUGGCGUCCAGUCGGUUAUUACCCUUCCCGCUUCGUGCGGCGUCCAUUCGGUUAUUACCCAUUUCCGCUUCGUGCGGCGUCCAUUCGGUUAUUACUCUUCCCGCUUCGUGCGGCGUCCAUUCGGUUAUUACCCCUUUUCGCUUCAUGCGGCGUCCAUUCGGUUAUUACCCCUUGCCGUUUUGUGCGGCGUCUAUUUAGUUAUUACCCCUUACCACUUCGGGCGGCGUCUUGCCGGUUAUUACCCUUUACCGCUUCGUGCGGCGUCCCGUCGGUUAUUACCCCCCCGGUUAGUUAUUACCCCUUGCCGCUUCGUGCGGCGUCCCGUCGGUUAUUACCCCUACCGCUUCGUGCGGCGACCUGUCGAUUAUUACCCCUUACCGCUUCGUGUGGCGUCCAUUCGGUUAUUACCCCUUUCACCUUCGUGCGGCGUCCCUUCAAUUAUUACCCAUUCUUGUUUCGUGCGGCAUCCCGGUUAUUACCCUUAUUGAUUCGUGUAGCGUCAUGUUGGUUAUUACCCCUUACCGCUGCGUGCGGUGUCCCAUCGGUUAUUACCCUUUACCGUUUCGUGUGGCGUACCGUCGGUUAUUACCCCUUAUGUUUNNNNN
This 8712-nucleotide long non-coding RNA is filed under the name Fragaria vesca (wild strawberry). RNAcentral's name for it is "long non-coding RNA (FVES_LNC003454)". The record is from RNAcentral. Lineage: Eukaryota; Viridiplantae; Streptophyta; Magnoliopsida; Rosales; Rosaceae.